RNAcentral lists this ribosomal RNA (254 nucleotides) under uncultured bacterium. Its description in RNAcentral is "partial 16S ribosomal RNA". It matches the Rfam family "Bacterial small subunit ribosomal RNA", at positions 524 to 776 of the family's 1533-position model. The record is from RNAcentral.
GACGUAGGGCGCGAGCGUUUGUCCGGAUUUAUUGGGCGUAAAGAGCUCGUAGGCGGCUUGUCGCGUCGACCGUGAAAACUUGGGGCUCAACCCCAAGCCUGCGGUCGAUACGGGCAGGCUAGAGUUCGGUAGGGGAGACUGGAAUUCCUGGUGUAGCGGUGAAAUGCGCAGAUAUCAGGAGGAACACCGAUGGCGAAGGCAGGUCUCUGGGCCGAUACUGACGCUGAGGAGCGAAAGCGUGGGGAGCGAACAGG